Molecule: non-coding RNA, 103 nt
Filed under: Planococcus glaciei
Lineage: Bacteria; Bacillati; Bacillota; Bacilli; Caryophanales; Caryophanaceae
Description: Planomicrobium glaciei SAM-I sequence
Rfam family: SAM riboswitch aptamer (S box leader)
About the family: The SAM riboswitch is found upstream of a number of genes which code for proteins involved in methionine or cysteine biosynthesis in Gram-positive bacteria. The SAM riboswitch acts at the level of transcription termination control. The predicted structure consists of a complex stem-loop region followed by a single stem loop terminator region.
Source: RNAcentral
UUCUUAUCAAGAGAGACGGAGGGAUUUGGCCCUGCGAUGUCUCAGCAACCAGCCUAACGGCAACGGUGCUAAUUCCAAUAGGCAGCAGCCUAGCAGAUGAGAA